Molecule: ribosomal RNA, 401 nt
Filed under: uncultured bacterium
Lineage: Bacteria
Description: bacterial SSU rRNA
Rfam family: Bacterial small subunit ribosomal RNA
Source: RNAcentral
AUUGAACGCUGGCGGCAUGCCUUACACAUGCAAGUCGAACGGCAGCACGGGGGCAACCCUGGUGGCGAGUGGCGAACGGGUGAGUAAUACAUCGGAACGUGCCCAGUAGUGGGGGAUAGCCCGGCGAAAGCCGGAUUAAUACCGCAUACGACCUACGGGUGAAAGCGGGGGAUCGCAAGACCUCGCGCUAUCGGAGCGGCCGAUGUCAGAUUAGGUUGUUGGUGGGGUAAAGGCCUACCAAGCCGACGAUCUGUAGCUGGUCUGAGAGGACGACCAGCCACACUGGGACUGAGACACGGCCCAGACUCCUACGGGAGGCAGCAGUGGGGAAUUUUGGACAAUGGGGGCAACCCUGAUCCAGCCAUGCCGCGUGCGGGAAGAAGGCCUCGGUUGUAACGUAC